Columba livia (rock pigeon) is the source of this 1274-nucleotide long non-coding RNA. RefSeq lists it as uncharacterized. The record is from RefSeq and is a predicted model, not a curated record. The transcript is spliced from 4 exons. NCBI's taxonomy places the organism in Eukaryota, Metazoa, Chordata, Aves, Columbiformes, Columbidae.
CCUUUUCUUCCCAGAGGAGAAACAUAUAUUCAUAUUAGGAACACUCCGUAAAAUAGCCACAUUACUGCUUCCAGAUAACUACUACAACUCCAUGCACAUGGCUUGGACUGUGGAGCUUUGGCUUGUUCCCUUUUUGGACAAAUGAAGAGAGAACAUCAGAACAUACAAAUCAGCUUGUGAAAUGCCUUGCUAUAAAAUAAGACAGAGAUCGAGUGCAAGUACUGAUUACUUAAGACAAAAUGGAAAUCUUGAGACCAGUCAAAUGCUGUUUGUUUUGUGCUGGUAUUACCAAUGUGACUUGUGUUCUGCUCACAGGUAUUUCAAGCAGAGUGGAAAGUGCCUUGAAGUGGAUCUACAUGUCGUGCACUUGCUAAGGUAUAAAGGCUGCCUGUGAAAGUCACAUACAAGGUGUCUGUCUUACAGCUUGGACCAGCUGACAAAUCUAAUGUUCUUUCCACCUUCUAAAUACUGCAGAACAGAUGGGCAUGUUUAGAUAAUAUUUCAACCACUAGUGCUGGAAACUUAUGUAUGAGUUACUGUCCUCUGAUAAACUAUAAACAAACAAAUGUGCUAUUGUCUUUGGAGAACUCACUGUAUGUCAGUUAACAUUUCUCCUGAAAGCUUAUAAUUAGGUUCCUCUUAUCAGAAGAAUGUUUUUCUUCUUACCCUGAAGUAAACCAAAUGGAAAUUCAGUAUGCUUUCCUUGAUAUCAAAUUUUGUUUUACUGCCUGUUAUCUAGAAGUCAAAGUAGUGGUCAUUUUUCUGCCACUGUUUCCACAUAAAGCCCUGGUGCUCAGUCUCUGGUUGUUCUGCAGAGCUCCCAUGAGCAGUUUAAAAAAAGAUGGUUUAAUUCAUCAUUUAUUCUUUCUUUCCCUUGGAGAAUCCAGAGCGAUAUAAAUCUGGCUAGCAACAUGAAAGACCUUAUAUACUCUGAAAUGAAUUUGUUUUAUUUCUCACUAAGAUGUAGGAGGUUUUUUGAGAUUACUUGUGUAAAUUGUAUUCAGCUUAUUCCAUCUUGCAUGGUUUAUAAUUAAUGUUGGUUUUGUUUCCUAUCAGCUUUAAAAAGGGUUGCUAAAUGUCUAGUGUGAAGAAGCUGUAAUCAGGUGUCCUCUUGAAAGUGAGGUGGCGUAAUUGUCCACAGCUUCCUUUCUGUCCCUCUGUUUAGAUACCACGUAAGGUGAGGUUUAAGUUUAAAUAGCUUUUGUCAAGGUGCUCUAAGCUGAUGUUGAACCUUGGGGAGAUAAUUUUUACUUCUUUGUGUUGGUUCCAUGUAA